GACGAACGCUGGCGGCGUGCCUAAUACAUGCAAGUCGAACGAGAGCAACCGGUGCUUGCACUGGUCAAUCUAGUGGCGAACGGGUGAGUAACACGUGGGUAACCUGCCCAUCAGAGGGGGAUAACAUCCGGAAACGGAUGCUAAAACCGCAUAGGUCUUCGAACCGCAUGGUUUGAAGAGGAAAAGAGGCGCAAGCUUCUGCUGAUGGAUGGACCCGCGGUGCAUUAGCUAGUUGGUGAGGUAACGGCUCACCAAGGCCGUGAUGCAUAGCCGACCUGAGAGGGUGAUCGGCCACAUUGGGACUGAGACACGGCCCAAACUCCUACGGGAGGCAGCAGUAGGGAAUCUUCCACAAUGGACGCAAGUCUGACGGAGCAACGCCGCGUGAGUGAAGAAGGUUUUCGGAUCGUAAAACUCUGUUGUUAGAGAAGAACAAGUGCUAGAGUAACUGUUAGCGCCUUGACGGUAUCUAACCAGAAAGCCACGGCUAACUACGUG
This 498-nucleotide ribosomal RNA is filed under the name uncultured bacterium. RNAcentral describes it as "partial 16S ribosomal RNA". It matches the Rfam family "Bacterial small subunit ribosomal RNA", at positions 28 to 507 of the family's 1533-position model. The record is from RNAcentral.